Molecule: ribosomal RNA, 578 nt
Filed under: Streptomyces sp.
Lineage: Bacteria; Bacillati; Actinomycetota; Actinomycetes; Kitasatosporales; Streptomycetaceae
Description: bacterial SSU rRNA
Rfam family: Bacterial small subunit ribosomal RNA
Source: RNAcentral
AUCUUGGGCAUCCUUGAUGGUGUAAAGCUCCGGCGGUGCAGGAUGAGCCCGCGGCCUAUCAGCUUGUUGGUGAGGUAAUGGCUCACCAAGGCGACGACGGGUAGCCGGCCUGAGAGGGCGACCGGCCACACUGGGACUGAGACACGGCCCAGACUCCUACGGGAGGCAGCAGUGGGGAAUAUUGCACAAUGGGCGAAAGCCUGAUGCAGCGACGCCGCGUGAGGGAUGACGGCCUUCGGGUUGUAAACCUCUUUCAGCAGGGAAGAAGCGAAAGUGACGGUACCUGCAGAAGAAGCGCCGGCUAACUACGUGCCAGCAGCCGCGGUAAUACGUAGGGCGCAAGCGUUGUCCGGAAUUAUUGGGCGUAAAGAGCUCGUAGGCGGCUUGUCACGUCGAUUGUGAAAGCUCGGGGCUUAACCCCGAGUCUGCAGUCGAUACGGGCUAGCUAGAGUGUGGUAGGGGAGAUCGGAAUUCCUGGUGUAGCGGUGAAAUGCGCAGAUAUCAGGAGGAACACCGGUGGCGAAGGCGGAUCUCUGGGCCNUUACUGACGCUGAGGAGCGAAAGCGUGGGGAGCGAAC